Molecule: long non-coding RNA, 621 nt
Organism: Caretta caretta (loggerhead turtle)
Lineage: Eukaryota; Metazoa; Chordata; Testudines; Cheloniidae
Source: RefSeq, a predicted model, not a curated record
AGGACUGGGAUUCAAAAUUCACGGUUUCUGGAAAUCAGAGGGACUCCCUCCUCAGAGCAUUUAGCGAUGUAGAAACGCUGUGACAGCAACACACAGAGCUUCAUUCUCGUCAUGAUUUAGACGAAUGGUUCUCAACCUGCGGCCCAUUCAGCACACAGCUGCAGCCCACGUGACAUCCUCAGGGCCAUACAGGGCACCCUGAAGAUAAAAAACUCACCAUGAAUAAAAACCUCAAAUUGCGGAAAUGCCAUACCACAGCCCGGCUCCGAGGACAUCAACCGGAGACUACUAGACCCAAUGGAAAUGUUCUUGUGUGUCUAAAAUUUGUGUUCACUGCAUACAAAUGAGUAUAUUUCUCCUCGAUGCUCAGUUCAUUUGGAAGGUGCUGCAACAGAGCACUGGGCCUUUGGAGCAUGAAUGGGCCCCAGGGCUCCUAUUACAGCAUCCAUUAUUAAAGAGCCAAAGGCUGUAACUAAUGCUUACAUUUGCUCCCACUCAUGUACUCUACAAGAAAUGGCAUCUAGAGCUUCCAGACUCGUGGGUACAGAAGCAGACAGGGGAGAUAUGUGGUCAAUGAAAGGGUUCUCUCUGCACCAAGAGGCAGAAGGGCUGAGAGGGAGA